CAGCACCUCAAGUGGUCAGGAUGAUUAGUGGGCCUAAAGCAUCCGUAGCCGGCGCUGUAAGUUUUCGGUUAAAUCUGUACGCUCAACGUACAGGCUGCCGGGAAUACUGCAGCGCUAGGGAGUGGGAGAGGUAGACGGUACUCGGUAGGAAGGGGUAAAAUCCUUUGAUCUAUUGAUGACCACCUGUGGCGAAGGCGGUCUACCAGAACACGUCCGACGGUGAGGGAUGAAAGCUGGGGGAGCAAACCGGAUUAGAGACCCGAGUAGUCC
RNAcentral lists this ribosomal RNA (270 nucleotides) under uncultured archaeon. Its description in RNAcentral is "partial 16S ribosomal RNA". It matches the Rfam family "Archaeal small subunit ribosomal RNA", at positions 477 to 747 of the family's 1478-position model. The record is from RNAcentral.